GCGUAUUCUAACUCAUUCUAUUAGGCUUAAAAAUAUAUUUUUGCUUCUUGAGAAAACAUUAAAUGGUCACUAAAUCUGUAAAUAUAAAGUUUAAUACUAGCUGAUAUUAUGAAAUGCAGUGCAUUGAACCAUAUGCAAUUGCUAGUCCUAGAUUAAAUGAUCAUUCAUGCCAAAAGUCUACAUCAGAUGGUAAUCCAUCUAUGCCAGAUGAUAACAUAAAGUCUAGUAUGAGGAGGUUAUCAAUAUUACAGAGUUCUGAAACAAAUUCUAAGGAGACAAAAUCAUUACUAGCACGAGAGCACCUCUGGUCGCACCAACAUCCGUUUCUUCCUCUGUAAAAAGAUGUUUAUCAAAACUUCAGUCCACAUUCAACCUUCAGACCAUCCAAGCAGAUAUGGUACCUAUGAUUGUUCCAAGAACUAGCACGAGAAUACACUUGUCCUCUGAUUUUACUAUAGACUCUGGGGUUGGUAAAACAAUGCCAUUUGACAUCCAAUUAAAAUUUACUGAAUUUUGGAAGGUGUCAAACAUCAAAUAGAAUUCAGAUAAAACAGAUAUCCAUUCAGUCUGGAUAUUUGAGCAGUAGUAAUAUUGAACAAAAUGAAUUUCUUGGCCAAACUCCUAUUUCUUUUGGCAAUUCAACAUGUGUCAGCUGAAACAAAUAAUUUGGAUGGUGUUAAGAACUUGAUUAAAGGAAGGAUCAGGUCUAUCCAAUUUAUUCAGAGAACCACAUUUGCACUUUGAUCAGGAAAAUUGUAAGUCUGAUGCCACCUUAUUUUGUUUUGUUAGAUUAUUCAUGAUUCCAACUUAUCAAGAUUUCUUGAUAUUAUUGUUGAACGCUGUUAGUUAUAGGACAUUCUAAAGCAUACAUCAUCACUAUUCUAUGUUAUUUUGUAUUUCUCCUUCAAAUGAAGUAUACUUGUAGAUAUUAAGUGAUCCUGUGAUUAAAUAUUUCUUUGCAAAUCAUGGCAUAGAUAAUGAAGAGAACUUCCAGAGUGAAAUUUCAGCAUUGAUAAUUUUCAAUCUUGGUUGGACUAAUACCAAACUCCUGAGUUGGAUCUAUAUAAAUUCUUACCCUAUCAAGUGUCACCUCCAAGAAAUUAAGUAUUCAAGGAAGAAUGUAUUGAAGGUAAAAAAAAAGAAGCUUGACAUUCAAAGAAACUGGUAUAGAUAAGGUACAUUUUGUUGGACACGGGAGGAAAUCCAUUAAAAAAUCAAUCAGAUUGGUGAUGGCUGAUUUGCACACUUGCAAGAGAGAUGUCCAUGUCUUCACUAUUGUGGACAUAUUCGCCGCAUGAAUUCAACCUUAGCUAAAGGGCUAACUGAAUCAACCAUAGCCAAUCUUGACGAACCGUGUUCAAUAUUAAAUUUGUUUCCGAUUAAGUUUCAACCUCUAGGGUAUUUAAAGAAAUAUGAAAGAACAUCUAGUUCAAAUAAGUCAAUCAAGAGCUUCAGGUUUUUAUGUAUUUAGAAUUACCUAAGAAAAGUAAAACAAUUCUAUUUCCUAUUAUGAGUUUGAAAUUUGCAUCUUUUUCUUACACGAGAAAUAGAUCAUGCACAAUCUUCAUCAAUACCAAGUACCCUUGCAACAUUAUAUGAACAUGAUGGAUCUUCAGGUAUGUAAGGUAACUGGAAUUUAAUCUUCCUAAGUAAUUGGUUUGAAUUAUUUCCAACCUCAUUUGGUUUACGUAUGAUUUAAUCUUUAGGAGAAGAUCUUUUACAAACUCCUCAUUGACCAUGUGGAAGAAUUGCUUCCAAUUAUUUAUACACCUAUUGUCGGAGAGGCAUGCCAGACUCUAUCUUUAGGCAUCCUCAGGGCCUCUAUAUCAAUUUGAAUGAGAAGUUAUUAUGUUGCUUGACUUGCUUCCUAAUCCAAUUACUGAAAUUUAUGGAAUAAAUUGAGUUUUCAAAGGAAGGAUUCUUGAGGUACUGGGAGACUGGCCUGAAAGGAAUAUUCAAAUUAUUGUGGUCAUAGAUGGUGAGCGGAUCUUGGGUUUUGAGGAUCUUGUCUGCCAGGGCAUGGGAAUUCCUAUGGGCAAACUUGCUUUAUAUAGUGUACUUGGUGGAGUCCGUUCAUUUGUUGUGAGUU
Zingiber officinale is the source of this 2089-nucleotide long non-coding RNA. RefSeq lists it as uncharacterized. The record is from RefSeq and is a predicted model, not a curated record. NCBI's taxonomy places the organism in Eukaryota, Viridiplantae, Streptophyta, Magnoliopsida, Zingiberales, Zingiberaceae. The transcript is spliced from 3 exons.